Molecule: ribosomal RNA, 889 nt
Filed under: uncultured bacterium
Lineage: Bacteria
Description: bacterial SSU rRNA
Rfam family: Bacterial small subunit ribosomal RNA
Source: RNAcentral
GUGCCAGCAGCCGCGGUAAUACGGAAGGUCCGGGCGUUAUCCGGAUUUAUUGGGUUUAAAGGGAGCGCAGGCUGAUUGUUAAGCGUGACGUGAAAUGUAGCCGCUCAACGGCUGAACUGCGUCGCGAACUGGCAGUCUUGAGUGAGUACGACGUCAGCGGAAUUCGUGGUGUAGCGGUGAAAUGCUUAGAUAUCACGAAGAACCCCGAUUGCGAAGGCAGCUGACGAGUCCUUUACUGACGCUAAAGCUCGAAGGUGCGGGUAUCGAACAGGAUUAGAUACCCUGGUAGUCCGCACGGUAAACGAUGGAUGCCCGCUGUUGGCGAUACAAUGUCAGCGGCCAAGCGAAAGCGUUAAGCAUCCCACCUGGGGAGUACGCCGGCAACGGUGAAACUCAAAGGAAUUGACGGGGGCCCGCACAAGCGGAGGAACAUGUGGUUUAAUUCGAUGAUACGCGAGGAACCUUACCCGGGCUUGAACUGCAGGGGAACGAUAGAGAGAUCUUGAGGUCAGCAAUGACCCCUGUGGAGGUGCUGCAUGGUUGUCGUCAGCUCGUGCCGUGAGGUGUCGGCUUAAGUGCCAUAACGAGCGCAACCCUUGUCUGUAGUUGCCAUCAGGUGAUGCUGGGCACUCUGCGGAUACUGCCACCGUAAGGUGUGAGGAAGGUGGGGAUGACGUCAAAUCAGCACGGCCCUUACGUCCGGGGCUACACACGUGUUACAAUGGGGUGUACAGAGAGUCGGUGCAUGGCAAUAUGCAUCCAAUCCUUAAAGCACUCCUCAGUUCGGAUUGGGGUCUGCAACCCGACCCCAUGAAGCUGGAUUCGCUAGUAAUCGCGCACCAGCCAUGGCGCGGUGAAUACGUUCCCGGGCCUUGUACACACCGCCCGU